Molecule: long non-coding RNA, 106 nt
Organism: Sapajus apella (tufted capuchin)
Lineage: Eukaryota; Metazoa; Chordata; Mammalia; Primates; Cebidae
Exons: 3
Source: RefSeq, a predicted model, not a curated record
AGACCAGGAGAAAAUAUUUUCAAAUCACAUAUCUGAAAAAAGAUUUGUAUCCAGAAUAUCUAAAGCACUCUCAAAACUCAGUAAUAGAAGGCUGGGGGCAGUGGCU